AAAAACUCAAAAUGAUCAUUUGAUCUCAAAAGCCUUCAAAACACUGAAGCAACCAAAAGCUCAUUGAGCCAUAAGAAACAAGUCAGCUAUAAUCCAGAAUCUCUAACUUUAGUUCAGUUUCAGAGAAAUAGUCAUUCAAAGCGAGAUUUCUCUCGUUACAAAUUUGGUUCUAGUACGGCCAGAAGGCCCUGCACUAGUUCAGGCCCCCCAG
RNAcentral lists this long non-coding RNA (211 nucleotides) under Prunus persica (peach). Its description in RNAcentral is "long non-coding RNA (PPER_LNC008163)". The record is from RNAcentral. Lineage: Eukaryota; Viridiplantae; Streptophyta; Magnoliopsida; Rosales; Rosaceae.